GAGCAAAGGGGCCAGAAAAGUGGCGAUCUUUGCAUUGAAGGUUGGCGACAACGAACUCGACCCUGCAGUUCUCCGUGCCGCGCAGAUUUAACUCUGUUUUGUGACGGCCUCGAACAAGCUGCUACAUC
Molecule: small nucleolar RNA, 128 nt
Organism: Setaria italica (foxtail millet)
Lineage: Eukaryota; Viridiplantae; Streptophyta; Magnoliopsida; Poales; Poaceae
Source: Rfam